GCUGUCUAAGGGCCCCCCAAGAGUCACCUAGUCAGAACAAAAGAGAUUCCUAUCACUCUUAUCACUUGGGAAAUUCCUGGCAUUUUAAGAGCUCUAUACCAGGAAGCCUUUGGCAAUAAAGGCCAAAUACCCUCCUUCUUAUACCACACAGAGAGACCAACAAAGGAAGCUGAGAGGAGAGACACAUAAAGGAGGAAGAAAACUAGGAGAGUGUGGUCCUGAAGCCAGGUGAAGAAACGUUUUCAAGAAAGAGGAAGCGACUGACUAUGUAAAAAAGUCUCUGGUGGCACAAGAAAGUUGAAGAAGAAUAAAUGAUCACUGGAUAAAACAGUGGACACAUGAUUGUUCUGGUGUCACGGGAAGGAACGGAAGGACACCCCGACAGCGCCGGGGAGCUAGAAGCAACCAAGCCUGGGUACCUGUGGUGGCCCUCGAGCGGGCUGCUUUCUCGCUGCCUCUGGAGGGGGUGGCUAAGUCCCUCCGAGAUCCUGGGUUCUAGCUCCCCAGCUCUUGCACUGAACGCCUUCAGACUUGACACACAGCAGUUUCUUUUUCCCCCCACGAGCCUGGAACCAGCCUGAACCAGCUGCGUCUGACUGAAAAACCCAGACUGGGUCCAGAGUCCGGCUGAGCCCGGGAUUGGACCGGGUCUGACCUAAAAACCGGACUGGUUCCUGCUUAAGCUGAACUGGGUCCAGUGUGAGGCAUCAGCUUCUAAGUAGCAGACCUGGAUUCCACCCAUGCCUGCUGACUCCAAGAACAGUAUUAUCUCCACAGCCAUUAGUUCUGCCAAAGGAAAGCACCACCUCCUUAGGCAAGGGGUUGCAAAUUCCUCCGGCUCAGGAGCAGGUCAAUCACCUUGUGAUGCUCUACCCGGAAUCUCCCUAAAGCUCAAGGGAUCUAGACAUUCUUAGCAUACAAAAUACAAGACCUCACCAAUGACUGAGAUGAUUUCAUUCUAUCGACCAUUAGAAUCACCAGUACCAGACCCCGGAAUUAGUACAUACUAUGAACAAGAAAUGGAACCAUGAGAAAAGCUUAGAACUGCCUUUGGAUCUCAUCCACAAGAGUAAAAGAUGACAAGCAGGUUAUUCUUAUGUGACUUGAGUCAGAGCUUUAAGGAGGGAGCAGCAAAAGAAGGGGAUCAACAGAAGUUGGCACCAGGGUUCAGAGUAAGAGAAACUUGAAGAGAUGGUGAACUUGGGCUAGGAGGAAGGGACAGAGUGGACCACAUGCUUUCAUAAUGUUUAGAGAACAAGAUAAUCCUUCCAUUCUUUUAUGAAACCUAUCUUUAAUUUUAGAUAAAUACCAUGAAAAAAAUCACCAUUAGAAAAAAAAUAAUUUUGAUUAAAAAAGCAUGAGCUUCCAAAUAAUUUAAGCAAUUUUUUUUUAAAUAUCUGAUUUUGAAGGAUAGGGAACUUGAGAUUCCAAUUUGCCACCAACAUUUUAAAUUAUAUACAUGAAAUGUCAGACCCACUCAACUGGUGAUUAUGCAGAAAGCUCAUUGAUACAUUAUAGUGAUCAAAACCACCUAUAGAACAGACAUUGAGUGUCCUAAAAAAAAAUAUUUGGACACAGUCAUAAAAACAAUAAAACAGAGUUUUGAUAUGGGACUUAUUUUCAUUUCAAUCCCCUACAUACCAAUGAACUGCUAGUUUAAUAUUUAUAAAUUGAUAAGAGGUAGAUGGAAAGCGAGUGAACAGAUGGAUAGGUCGAUAGAGAAAUAACCUCUGAAGGAGAAUAUCUUUUUUUAUUGUGGUAAAAAAAUAUAUAUAUAUGAGAUCUACCUU
Molecule: long non-coding RNA, 1790 nt
Organism: Mirounga angustirostris (Northern elephant seal)
Lineage: Eukaryota; Metazoa; Chordata; Mammalia; Carnivora; Phocidae
Exons: 4
Source: RefSeq, a predicted model, not a curated record